GGAGGAAAAGAAACUAACAAGGAUUCCCCUAGUAACUGCGAGUGAAGCGGGAAAAGCUCAAAUUUAAAAUCUGGCAGUCUUUGGCUGUCCGAGUUGUAGUCUGGAGAAGUGCUUUCCGCGCUGGACCGUGUACAAGUCUCCUGGAACGGAGCGUCAUAGAGGGUGAGAAUCCCGUCUUUGACAUGGACUACCAGUGCUUUGUGAUGCGCUCUCAAAGAGUCGAGUUGUUUGGGAAUGCAGCUCAAAAUGGGUGGUAAACUCCAUCUAAAGCUAAAUAUUGGCGAGAGACCGAUAGCGAACAAGUACCGUGAGGGAAAGAUGAAAAGCACUUUGGAAAGAGAGUUAAACAGUACGUGAAAUUGCUGAAAGGGAAACGCUUGAAGUCAGUCGCGUUUGCUAGGACUCAGCCUUGCCUCGGCUUGGUGCAUUUCCUAGUAGACGGGCCAGCAUCAUUUUUGGCUGCAGGAAAAAGGUUAGAGGAAUGUGGCACCUCCGGGUGUGUUAUAGCCUCUAGCUGUAUACUGUGGCUGGGAGUGAGGAACUCAGCGCGCCUUCAUGGCGGGGCUUCGGCCACCUUCGUGCUUAGGAUGCUGGCGUAAUGGCUUUAAACGACCCGUCUG
RNAcentral lists this ribosomal RNA (620 nucleotides) under Phanerochaete sp. RNAcentral's name for it is "partial large subunit ribosomal RNA". It matches the Rfam family "Eukaryotic large subunit ribosomal RNA", at positions 52 to 655 of the family's 3401-position model. Lineage: Eukaryota; Fungi; Basidiomycota; Agaricomycetes; Polyporales; Phanerochaetaceae. The record is from RNAcentral.